RNAcentral lists this ribosomal RNA (274 nucleotides) under uncultured bacterium. RNAcentral describes it as "partial 16S ribosomal RNA". It matches the Rfam family "Bacterial small subunit ribosomal RNA", at positions 523 to 796 of the family's 1533-position model. The record is from RNAcentral.
AUACAGAGGGUGCGAACGUUAAUCGGAAUUACUGGGCGUAAAGCGCGCGUAGGCGGUCUAUUAAGUCAGAUGUGAAAUCCCAGGGCUCAACCUUGGAACUGCAUCUGAUACUGGUAGACUAGAGUUUUGGAGAGGGAAGUAGAAUUUCAGGUGUAGCGGUGAAAUGCAUAGAGAUCUGAAGGAAUACCAGUGGCGAAGGCGACUUCCUGGCCAAAAACUGACGCUGAGGUGCGAAAGCGUGGGUAGCAAACGGGAUUAGAUACCCUAGUAGUCC